GGAGUAGCUCAGUUGGUAGAGCACCGGUCUCCAAAACCGGGUGUCGGGAGUUCGAACCUCUCCUC
RNAcentral lists this transfer RNA (65 nucleotides) under Phocaeicola dorei. It matches the Rfam family "tRNA", at positions 5 to 66 of the family's 71-position model. From Rfam's summary of the family: Transfer RNA (tRNA) molecules are approximately 80 nucleotides in length. The record is from RNAcentral. RNAcentral also lists the same sequence under 1 other name. Lineage: Bacteria; Pseudomonadati; Bacteroidota; Bacteroidia; Bacteroidales; Bacteroidaceae.